Molecule: long non-coding RNA, 1836 nt
Filed under: Malus domestica (apple)
Lineage: Eukaryota; Viridiplantae; Streptophyta; Magnoliopsida; Rosales; Rosaceae
Description: long non-coding RNA (MDOM_LNC004026)
Source: RNAcentral
CCGUCCAUUUUUUCUGUCUAAAGAACAACUGGUUUUUAUAUAUCAAAGUAUCAACGUUGCAUAAAUUCUCAAUUUUUACGUUUAGAUUCUCAAGGGCAUCAUUUGGUAUAUCGAUCACUUCUUAUAUUUUGAGACGGAUUCGAAGACACGGAUUCGAAGAGUGUACCAUCCUUUCUUGCAUACUGUGACGACCUUCCCUCCUUGUGUGAUGAACACCUUCUUCAUUUUCUUAGUUUUUUGCUUAACCUGCUCCGUCAGUUCUGCCAUCUAAUUCAAAACAAGUAUUGAAUGAGAUCGACGGGAAAGUAGGCAAUAUUUUUUUACCAAAAUAUAUGAUAUUAAUCGCAGCUUUUUUAGAACAUAUAUAGCUUGCUACUUGCCACCUUAACCUUUCUAAAUUAGCAAACCGAGUUUUCUUAAAAUAGUUGACAUGGGAAAUUAGUUGAUGCCCUGGAUAGUUGGGUUGUUUUUUUUGGUUGACUACGUUUUUUAUAUGCCAGAAAGUUUAAUGGGAGCGGAGGCUACUACAUCCCAAGACCAGGCAUACCACAAUCUUUUUUUAGGACUUACAACGGGUUUUGUGUCCCCUUUGUUGCUUUUUCAGAUCGCCUACCAACACAAGAUUGCUGGCAGCCGAAUGCGAACCUUAGUGGGCAACACACAAGGCUGGGACCUUACUAACUAAACCAAUAUGUGUUGACUUUGGUUGACUACUUUGCAUAAGUGUCAUUGCUUCAAAACGCUAAUAUAAGUUAUAACUAAAACGGUAUUAAAAAAAAAAGUUAAAAAGUGUUUCUGUAACGAAACUUAUGUGUGUUCUCUUGCUUUUGAAAUGGUAGGCCAAAAGAGGAAAAGUAAAAAUGUUAGGAUACUUCUUUAGUCUAAACAGCAACAAAAAAUAAGAUCAAUAAUGCAGAAAUACAACAUUUCCAUGUGUAACACAGAACAUUUUGACAAGGAUUGUCAGCAGCAUUAUUGCUGACUUAUGCUUCGUUCAAUCAAUUUCUAUCUCCCAACGUUGACGUUUUAAAAUCCAUUAACGAUAAAUUUUUAUAUGCAUCAGCAACUUAGAUAGACCGGACAUACUUUUACAGUAACACCUCAAUCUAAUAACACAAUAGUAUGUGCAAUAUCAUUUCACAUUAUAUUGUGUUAUCAAACCGGCACGCCACUAUAGUUGUGUACGACUUCAUCUAACUCCUCCUCAUAUGUUACAAACUUUUAUGGUACAUAUUGUCAGAUGACAAUAAUAUUUGGGGUGUGAUAUCUACACACCUUCUUUUAUUUCUCUCAUACCUCUUGUUAAUUUCUGUUAUUUGAUCUUUUUUAAUUCACUAGAUCUGACAGCUGCAAAUUAAGCACACCCCGUAGUAUUUUAUGUAUCAUUCAAGAGCCAUGGUUUCAAACACACCCCAUAAAAUUGGUAGACGCCGAAAACUUUGAGGUUCCAAAAUGAAGAUGUGAAUAGAAUGCUGGAUAAAUUAUAAAUGUAUACUGCAACUGCAACCUCACUCAUUAUAAAUUAAUCAGAGAUAGAUACUGAACAAUGAAAUGAUGGGAGGUUUUCGAUCCUACGACCAUCUACAAACUAAGAUUCUAAAAUCAUGUUACACGAAUUAUUGCACCUUAAAAGUACAAGUUGUUAUGGAAUAAGCCAAUUGAAAAGGAAGACGGCAUACGCGAAUCUGGUUUCUUGUCCUCCAAGCUAUAUCUUGAGGUUGGUUCGGACUCGGUACCACCCUUUUUUCCAGACGCCAACAACCUUCCAUCCUUGUUGCUCGAAGAAGGACCGAAGAUCUCGACUCCUUUCCCUCAUUUGUUUACGUCGUUCUUCCG